UUUGCCAUGGACAUUUGCAUAAACUGGUUCAUAGUAUCCUCCAUCUUUGAGUUUCUAUCUUAUGACUGAGGAUUAUGAUUAUAAUUCUGAUAUGGAUUUUGUCUAUUGGAAGGUCCUGAUUCUUGUCUUCAAGCUUGGCCAUAUUGUGCAUUGUUCCCUCUUUAUUAAUAACCAUCAUUAUUUUGAUAUAGAGCUUGCCUCUAUUCAUAUUGAUUUUGAUUUCCCAUAUAAUUCAUCUCUUCAUUUUAUGGAGGAUAAUAACCUGUU
This 267-nucleotide long non-coding RNA is filed under the name Lathyrus oleraceus (garden pea). RNAcentral's name for it is "Pisum sativum (pea) long non-coding RNA (PSAT_LNC029142)". The record is from RNAcentral. Lineage: Eukaryota; Viridiplantae; Streptophyta; Magnoliopsida; Fabales; Fabaceae.